This 247-nucleotide ribosomal RNA is filed under the name uncultured Luteolibacter sp. RNAcentral describes it as "partial 16S ribosomal RNA". It matches the Rfam family "Bacterial small subunit ribosomal RNA", at positions 357 to 596 of the family's 1533-position model. The record is from RNAcentral. Lineage: Bacteria; Pseudomonadati; Verrucomicrobiota; Verrucomicrobiia; Verrucomicrobiales; Verrucomicrobiaceae.
GAGAAUAAUUCACAAUGGGGGCAACCCUGAUGGUGCAACGCCGCGUGGAGGAUGACGGUCUUCGGCUUGUAAACUCCUGUCAUCCGGGAGUAAGACCUGGCUGUUAAUAGCAGACAGGGUUGAUAGUACCGGAAGAGGAAGGGACGGCUAACUUCGUGCCAGCAGCCGCGGUAAUACGAAGGUCCCGAGCGUUGUUCGGAAUCACUGGGCGUAAAGGGUGCGUAGGCGGCGUGGUAAGUCAGAUUUG